Brassica napus (rape) is the source of this 2511-nucleotide long non-coding RNA. RefSeq lists it as uncharacterized. The transcript has 2 exons. Lineage: Eukaryota; Viridiplantae; Streptophyta; Magnoliopsida; Brassicales; Brassicaceae. The record is from RefSeq and is a predicted model, not a curated record.
UAAUGCCUAAAAGUUUCUAAGUGCAGAGAGUUCUAAGUCUAAAAGAAUUCCCUUUGCCUCUUCAACCUCGACGUCCUUAUAUACUCCUCCUAGAGGCGGUUUGUUCUUUCCCUUUCUACCCUCGGUCGAGUUUAUCGAUUCGCGGAAAUAUCUCAUUUUUCUUCGAUCUUCUUGUUUAUCUUUGGAAACUUCACAUUUAUCCUCCGAACUUGACAUUUAUCUUCUCCUGCAUAACAAAAUAUAAACCGUCAUAACGAUUGGGCUUGAUUUGGUAUAAAAUCGUAAAUGGGCUCUUAGUCGCGUUAUGGGUCCUUUCGGGCUGUUUUUCGACUUAGGCAUUUUUAUGAUUUUAUAAAAAGAGCGCUUUCGAAAUGACGUCGAUUCCAAAGAAAAUUCACUUUCCCGUAUAGCGUAGGCAAUUCGAGGUGUUCAGCUAACUGUUGCCAUUUUAUACGAUCAAUCCGAAUGUUAUUCCAGAGAACGAGUUCUUGUGGUUUUUAAAUCGUAAAGUUCCAACGGUGACUCCGAUCGAGAUGAAACAAGGGAAGGUUUGUUCUAAUCCCAAAGGAGGGAGCUGCGAGGAUGAGAUGUAGACAGCACGAUCGUUCUAGCUCGGCAGAUGGCCGAGCUGGUCGCGUGUUCGAUCCAGCUCGGCCAUCCGCCGAGCUGGUCGCCUGUUCGAUCCAGCUCGGCCAUCCGCCGAGCUGGUCGCAUGGUCGAUCCAGCUCGGCCAUCUUGGCCAUCCGCCGAGCUCGACAGGUUCAGCUCGGCGGAUGGCCGAGCUGGUCGUUUUGGUCGAUCCAGCUCGGCCAUCCGCCGAGCUGGACGGUGUCCACCCUUUAAUAAAAUAGGCAUAACGUAUGCUACAGGAUUCUGAUUGACCUCAGACCGGUGGCAUUGGAAAGCUAACUCAAAAAUCUAUCUUGUGUCAAAAGAUGGACCCAAUAAAACCAUGGGAAGAUCUUCAUCCAUAGCUAAACAUCUGACGCGGAUGUGCAGUUCUGCACCUCAAAAGGUCCGAAUGAACGAGUUGGACUGCGUGUUUGGUUCCGUGAUCCAUUUCUCUCGAUUCUUUUUCUCAGGAGCUUUUGUCGAGAGUGUGUUGAGAAAGCUUUCGUACAGAAACGUAAUUUUUGGAUGUUUAUUUCGAGAUAACCGUUUUUGAUCCCAACAAUGUUUGCGUCUUGUUGUCGAUAAAAUAUAUCAAUAACUCGUCGUAUAACCUUUUCAAUAAAAAUUAUACGAAAUUUAUAUUGCGAGAAAUAUUUUCCAGGGACUUUUAGACAUUGAUUCCGUUGUGACCGAUUUUGACCCGAACACGGUCGUUCAUCGCUUUGUUGGCUUCGUCUUGCUGGGCGAAACGUGCCAUGAUUGCUUGUAGCAUCUCGGUCACGUUCUGUGUAACGGCGACCCGUGUAGAGGCGACCGAAGAUAGUAUUAUUGUAUCUAUUUAAUUUAACCGAAUAGAGAUUGACCCCAUAAAAGAAUCUGUUUGUUUUUGGCCCCAUAAAAAACAAUUCACACCAAUGAGAGCUAUUGAUCUGUCUCUCUCCCAUAAUAUCAUCUUCUCUCAGUCGUGCUCUUGGUUUGUAUAGUGCCGCAGACAAGGUGGAGAAGUUCACUGAGUCAUAAUAACUAAAGUGGUGGCCAUGAAAUUUUUUUUUCAGAUCUAACGCGUCAUCUCCAUCAUCCAUUUGCUCUUUCUUCUUAUCUGAGUUACAACCAAGAAGUUAAAAAAAAAACAAAUCAGACAUCUUGUAGUCUUAAUAAUCACAAGUUAACAGAAAAAAGAGACAUUUGAUCCAUAAAGUUCACAACUUUCUCAUGUAUAGAACCAAAAAAGAGAAGAGAGCUGUGCAACAUUAGCACCAUCAUUGAGCGUAAAAACUUACACCAGCCUCUCUCAGGAUGAAGAAGAACUUAAAAAUUAAUUAAUUUGCAUCUUCAUUUCCUCCGGUGAGACUGUCAAUGAAAUCAAAGAGAAAGAGAGUCUAUCAGUGAUAUUGAGAACAUCCAAAUCAUAUAUAUAUAUAUAUAUGUAUAUAUUAUGGUGCUAAGUUUGGAAUCCUCCACAACCUUAACCGUAAUCUCUGUCUCCUCCAUCUCACAUCGGACCUCCGUUUUCGAGACCCAUCUGACUGGUUCACCGACAAUCUUCAAACUGAAAGUGAUCACAACCAGAUUGUGGAUCCCCAAACCCCUUGUCGAAUGUUGAAAUCCCAUUCCAAAAAUUUCUUGUCCCCGUUUUACCCAUCCACGCUUCCACUGACCACAACCACAAAGUUCAAGACUCCAUCAUCCACAAAACACCAGAUCACAGAAAUCAUGUCCACACUACUCCUUCAUGUGACUCAUUCGUCCACAAAUCACUCAUCCACAUCAUGCAUGUCCAUACAUCAUUUUCCCAGCUACUAUGUAUGCUUUUGUAACAUUUGUGGUUUCUAGAUCUUUCACAUUAUGGAACAUUAUGUAUAUUUAUCAAAUUAAGUUAUUUAUUAUUUUACAUACUCA